Xiphophorus hellerii (green swordtail) is the source of this 370-nucleotide long non-coding RNA. RefSeq lists it as uncharacterized. The transcript is spliced from 3 exons. The record is from RefSeq and is a predicted model, not a curated record. Lineage: Eukaryota; Metazoa; Chordata; Actinopteri; Cyprinodontiformes; Poeciliidae.
GAACGUAAGCUGCAGAUAACAUAGAAGGUGAUAGCAGUAAUUAGCUACUGUUAGCUAACAUACUGUUUGAAGCGUUCAGUUCAAAGCUAGCAUAACAGCUAAGCCAGCCUGCCUUCAAGGGUUUCUCUUGAUCCUGAGGAGAGCAAGGCCUGGAGAGUCGAGACAAUUCUCCAAGCACCAUGCUCUUGGAUCGUGCUGCAUGGACACAAACAUGAAGAUGAUUCUACAAUGGUCAUCAUUGAAAUGUGGACCCUGCAUAAUGGACCCUCUUCAUCUACAGAGAGAAAAAAGGAAGGAAGGACUCGAACAAAGUGGGGAUAGAAAAAGGUAGGAAGAAAGAACAAAGGAAUGAAAGGACAAAGAAGAAAUA